This 433-nucleotide ribosomal RNA is filed under the name uncultured bacterium. RNAcentral describes it as "partial 16S ribosomal RNA". It matches the Rfam family "Bacterial small subunit ribosomal RNA", at positions 28 to 507 of the family's 1533-position model. The record is from RNAcentral.
AGCGAACGCUGGCGGCAGGCUUAACACAUGCAAGUCGAGCGGGCACUUCGGUGUCAGCGGCAGACGGGGGAGUAACACGUGGGAACGUACCCGUUGGUUCGGAAUAACGGUGGGUAACUAGCGCUAAUACCGGAUACGCCCUUUUGGGGAAAGGCUUGCUGCCGCAGGAUCGGCCCGCGUCUGAUUAGCUGGUUGGGGGGGUAAUGGCCUGCCAAGAGCACGAUCAGUAGCUGGUGUGAGAGGAUGACACGCCACACUUGGACUGCGACACGGCCCAGCCUCCUACGCGAGGCAGCAGUGGGUAAUAUUGGACGAUGGGCGCAAGCCUGAUCCCGCCGUGCCGCGUGAGUGAUGCAGGCCUUAGGGUUGUAAUGCUCUUUUGUCCGGGACGAUAAUGACGGUACCGGAAGAAUAAGCCCCGGCUAACUUCGUG